Long non-coding RNA from Girardinichthys multiradiatus, 2902 nucleotides. RefSeq lists it as uncharacterized. The record is from RefSeq and is a predicted model, not a curated record. NCBI's taxonomy places the organism in Eukaryota, Metazoa, Chordata, Actinopteri, Cyprinodontiformes, Goodeidae. The transcript is spliced from 5 exons.
AACAAAAACACACAAGCCUCCAUCAGAAACACGGACAUGCAGCAGUAAGGAAGCAUUGAGCCAUCAGCCCCUCCCUCUUCAAAUCUCUCUGAUAUAACCACAGGUAUCCAUCAACUCCAGCUCAGAAGGUAGAAGUGAUGUCAACAUUAUCCCAAGUUUAACUGCAAGCUGUGCAGCAGGAGUGAAUAGUUGCCGUUUUUGCCUUCGCUCUUUGGUGUACAGAAGACAAUCAACAGAUUGGCUCGUUAAUAUGCCAACAGGACUUGACCUGUUGCGUAAAUAUUAAUGCCUGAAGUAACUUUAAAAAUCAAGCUCCACUGAAGGAAAAUGACUGGCAUCCACAUAAUGAUUCAUACAAUAAUGUAUGAAUCAUUGUACCACACAUGUACCUUCCGGAAAGAAAUCUGAGGAAUCCAUAACCAUCUAACCACAACCACACCUGUCAACCUCAGUCUCAUGGCGUAACUCACCCCCUCCAGAGCCUCGACCAGCAGAACUCGGAUUCCCAGACGACCGCAUUACACCUUUCCUUGUAAAUCUGUCUAACCUGAACUCUGCCUCGCAACCACCAUGGUAGAUUCUAUUCUCAUGGGCUGGCCAGGUCCUGCUCCAGCUAAGUAUCCAAAAACCAUGACACUUCCAGCUCUGUGCUUUAUUUCUUUAAAAUACUGUAGUUGGUUUGUGCGAAAAAUACCAUUUGUUUAUUUGUGUCCAAAUAUUUCAGUUUUAGACUAAUGUGUCCUAGGAACAUUAACAAGAGGUACUGGGGCCUCAAUUAUAAACAUGGCAUAUGCAUGUGAAAGGGGCUUGAAACUGGCAUACGUCAUUUUCCAUGCAGAGGUUCUGAUCUAUAAAAACAAACUUGACAGGUGAAUGCGCAGUCCCUCAAGUAAACUCUGACCCAUACGUACGCUUGUUUUGGAGACAGGUGUUGUGAUUAUUAUGAAUGUCAGUCAUUUUCUACCGCUUCUUCCAUAGUGGGUCGCGGGGAAGCUAGUGCCUAUCUCCAGUAGUCUAUGGGCGGGAGGCGGGGUACACCAUGGACAGGUCGCCAGUCCAUCGCAGGGUUUAUUAUGAAUGUAUUAUUUAAUAUCAACAUUUUAAUAUUUUAUUAAAUAAUAAUUGGGUCUAUUAAGUUCUGUCUGAUGAAUACCAGCCCAAUAAGGCGGUGGUAUUAGGACAAUAGUGAAAGGGGUGAGCCAGGCUCUGAUAUUGCUGAACAGCAAAACUCUGCACACUCAUGGAAUAAAUUCAAACAAUUUCUUAAAAUACAAGAAUUUAUUAACAAAAAUAAGUUAACUCAAAGUCAAACAUGUUUCAAUCAACAAACUCUUUACUAUCCUAAAACAAUUCAACUAAAACUAACAGGCAAAUUGAAAGAAUAAGGAAGAGCAAUGAACUAUAUACAAUACGAACAAAUGAAUCAAAGAUGGUUAAAAACCAUGACCAAUAAAAUGAUGCAACAUUACCUUUCAAUGUUAUUUGUUUGAGAACCAAGGGUUAUCUGGAGGAAUCUGGAAACGAGGUUACGUUAAUCUUGGAACUGACUUGCAAGUGGUAUACCUUCAACCAACUUUUCACAAUGCAAGAUCAGAUAAAAAAUUAUUUUAAUAAAAUUAUAUUUCAAAGAAUGAUUUCAUUCAUUACUUAACUUUGUUCAUACGAUUGGCGUGAUCGUAGUCUCUUUUCGAUCCAAGCAGACUUGUGUCUGCUCGCCGGCAAGGAGACGCUUAGUGCCCCCUUGUCUGGUUCUCCUGCUGGAAACAGGUGCAGGCCGCCAUGUGGGAACACGGCGUUUUUGUUCAAACAGUGACGUCACGGGGAGUCAGCUAUGACUCCUUGUUACGACCAGUGGUCGUAGGGGUGUUUUGUUUUUAUAACCUUGUGUACAGGCUGCUGAAGUGCUCCGCUGAAGAGAAGAAAACCUUGCUCCGUCGUUUCGGCAGCUUGGCUUCGCGGGAUUCCCUCCCUUCUUCGCUGGUUGCUGGUGGAGGCGGAUCUUCCUGGACGCUCAGUAUUCCUCCUGCUGGACAUCGCCGGGAUAUCCUGUGAACUGUCUAUCGUCUGCUUCCGCAAAUGCGCCGCCAAUCAUUACGGAGUCCAGCCUAUAUAAACUCUCUACACCUGUCACCAAAAGGCGGCUGUGAUUUAAUCUGAGCAGCUCGCCUUGUGUGUUUGUGAAGCUCAUGCUAGUGGUGGUAUUUGUUGAUUGUGGUAAAACUAUUGAUUACCGUUUAACCUGUCUGUUUUCUCUGGCGAUUUGGUUAGAGCUGGCUGGCUUGUUAUUGUUAGUAUUUAGACUUGUUAAAUAGGCAUCAAGUCUAGGGUUUGAGCUCUUUUGUUUGAGUUUUGACUGUUUUAUUUUGUGCUACUGGCUGUUAUGUUUGUUACCUCAUGUUAGUGGGGCUCUCUUUUGCACAUGUGUCUGUGAUGUUAAACCAUUACUAAUAAACAAUAUUCAUUAGACUUCCCAUAUCUCCAUUUUCUUUAUGUUACUUCCCCUCCUUCACCCCUGGCAGACCCGGGUCGUAACACUCCUCUUCCUGGGCUGCGUUAGGAAUAGGUUAGUAUGAUGUUGAAAGGUGCAGAGAUUCAUACUGGCCUUCGAUGAUGUACAGAGUCCUUGUCCAUCCAUGUUGCAAUCCAUGGUUGUGGUCCCACCACAGGGGAAACUGGCAAUGCAGAUGGUAUGGAGGGGAAAUGAAGCCCCACUACAUAAUGAUUCCUCUCAAACAUUCAAUUUUAUUCCAUAUCAAGCAUUAAUCAUAGAUUGACAUCAUCAUAUGCAUUGAAAACCACAGCGUUAUUUAUGUUGCACUGGUGAGCCAUAACUAUACAUAAGGACCUUUCACAUAAACAAAAAAAAGGCCUAUAAGCCAACUCUAAUGUUAAAUCAAAGGCC